UCUGUUAAAAAAGGUAUGGAUGACUUGUGACUCGGAGUGAAAGGCUAAACAAACCUGGAAAUAGCUGGCUCUCCCCGAAAUGCCUUUAGGGACAGCCUCAUACAAAUGUAGCGGAGGUAAAGCACUGGAUGGACUAGGGGGCGUCACUGCCUACCAAACCCAAUCAAACUCAGAAUGCCGCAAAACAACGUAUAGGAGUGAGACUGCGUGCGACAAGGUUCGUAGUCGAAAGGGAAACAGCCCGGACCAACAACUAAGGUCCCGAAAUACCGCUAAGUGUAAAAUGAAGUUUGGAUGCACAGACAGCCAGGAGGUUGGCUUAGAAGCAGCCAUUCCUUAAAAGAGUGCGUAAUAGCUCACUGGUCGAGCAUACAAGCGCAGAUAAUGUAACGGGGCUAAGCGGUAUACCGAAGUUUUGGAUCUAACACGUUUUGUGUUAGGUGGUAGGGGAGCAUUCCAUGAGCUGAAGAAGCAAUAUCCGUGAGGGGUUGUGGAGGUAGUGGAAGAGAGAAUGCAGGCAUAAGUAACGCAAAGACGGGUGAGAUUCCCGUCCGCCGAAAACCUAAGGUUUCCUGGGUAAAGGCAAUCUGCCCAGGGUAAGUCGGCCCCUAAGGCGAGGACGAAAGUCGUAGUCGAUGGGAAAUCGGUUCAAAAUCCGAUACCUUUAUCAGUUUCGAGGGCAAGACGCAUGAGGUGAAACCCGGCCGGAGAAUGGUAGUUCCGGUCGAAGCAACGAGCUUUUGAUAGCGAUAGGCAAAUCCGUCGCUUGAGGUAAGUUGUGACAGCUAGCGGAGAGAAAGUUGAAGCGAAGCGGGUGUAAUCACGGUGCCGGGAAAUACUGUCUAAGGCUAGGCUGAUAAAGACCGUACCGCAAACCGACACAGGUAGGAAGGAUGAGAAAUCUAAGGCGCACGAGAGAACUCGCGUUAAGGAACUCGGCAAAAUGCACACGUAACUUCGGAAGAAGUGUGGCCCGAUUCGGUAAGAAGAAGAGGGUGGCACAGAGCAGGCCCAGGCGACUGUUUAUCAAAAACACAGCCAUCUGCUAAUCAGUAAUGAAACGUAUAGGUGGUGACACCUGCCCGGUGCCGGAAGGUUAAGAGGAGAUGUGAGGGGAGCCCCAAAGCAUUGAAUUGAAGCCCCGGUAAACGGCGGCCGUAACUAUAACGGUCCUAAGGUAGCGAAAUUCCUUGUCGGGUAAGUUCCGACCCGCACGAAUGGUGUAACGAUUCUGGGCACUGUCUCAACGCGAGACUCGGUGAAAUUUAUAUACCGGUAAAGAAGCCGGUUACCCAUAGUUAGACGGAAAGACCCCGUGAACCUUCACCGUAACUUACUAUUGGGACUUGGUUUAUCAUGUGUAGAAUAGGUGGGAAACUGUGAAGCUUGCUCGUUAGGGUGAGUGGAGUUGAAAGGUGAAAUACCACCCUUGAUGAAUUAGGUUUCUAACCUGUUCCGUGAAGCCGGAAUGGGAACAGUGGUAGGCAGGCGGUUUGACUGGGGCGGUCGCCUCCUAAAAUGUAACGGAGGUGCGCGAAGGUCUCCUCACGUCGGUUGGAAAUCGACGCAGUGAGUGUAAAGGCACAAGGAGGCUUAACUGCAAGAGUGACAGCUCAAGCAGAUACGAAAGUAGGUCUUAGUGAUCUGGCGGUAGCGAGUGGAAGCGCCGUCACUUAACGGACAAAAGGUACUCCGGGGAUAACAGGCUGAUCUUCCCCAAGAGUUCACAUCGACGGGAAGGUUUGGCACCUCGAUGUCGGCUCAUCGCAUCCUGGGGCUGGAGCAGGUCCCAAGGGUUUGGCUGUUCGCCAAUUAAAGCGGUACGUGAGCUGGGUUCAGAACGUCGCGAGACAGUUCGGUCCCUAUCUGCUGUGGGCGUUGGAUGAUUGAGAGGAGCUGCAUUUAGUACGAGAGGACCGAUGUGGACGAACCUCUGGUGUAUCUGUUAUUCUGCCAAGAGUAAGUGCAGAGUAGCUAUGUUCGGAAGGGAUAACCGCUGAAAGCAUCUAAGUGGGAAGCCCACCUCAAGAUAAAUCAUCCCUGAGGGUAUAACCCUCCUAAAGACUCCGGAGACACUAUCCGGUCGAUAGGUUGCAGGUGUAAGUACAGUAAUGUAUUCAGCCGAGCAAUACUAAUCAGUCGUGAGGCUUGACC
Molecule: ribosomal RNA, 2154 nt
Filed under: human metagenome
Description: bacterial LSU rRNA
Rfam family: Bacterial large subunit ribosomal RNA
Source: RNAcentral